ACGCUGGCGGCGUGCCUAACACAUGCAAGUCGAGCGGAGCCAAUUAGAUGAUCCCUUCGGGGUGAAUUUGAGGAAGCUUAGCGGCGGACGGGUGAGUAACGCGUGAGUGACCUGCCUGUAAGAGGGGGAUAACACAGAGAAAUUUGUGCUAAUACCGCAUAUUGAGUAUUAAUUGCAUGAUUGAUACUUGAAAGAUUUAUCGCUUACAGAUGGACUCGCGUCUGAUUAGCUAGUUGGUGAGGUAAUGGCUCACCAAGUCGACGAUCAGUAGCCGGACUGAGAGGUUGAACGGCCACAUUGGGACUGAGAUACGGCCCAGACUCCUACGGGAGGCAGCAGUGGGGAAUAUUGGGCAAUGGGGGAAACCCUGACCCAGCAACGCCGCGUGAAGGAAGAAGGCCUUCGGGUUGUAAACUUCUUUUAGUAGGGACGAAGAACGUGACGGUACCUACAGAAAAGCAACGGCUAACUACGUG
This 476-nucleotide ribosomal RNA is filed under the name uncultured bacterium. RNAcentral describes it as "bacterial SSU rRNA". It matches the Rfam family "Bacterial small subunit ribosomal RNA", at positions 33 to 507 of the family's 1533-position model. The record is from RNAcentral.